GAUGAACGCUGGCGGCGUGCCUAAUACAUGCAAGUCGAGCGAACGGACGAGAAGCUUGCUUCUCUGAUGUUAGCGGCGGACGGGUGAGUAACACGUGGAUAACCUACCUAUAAGACUGGGAUAACUUCGGGAAACCGGAGCUAAUACCGGAUAAUAUUUUGAACCGCAUGGUUCAAUAGUGAAAGACGGUCUUGCUGUCACUUAUAGAUGGAUCCGCGCUGCAUUAGCUAGUUGGUAAGGUAGCGGCUUACCAAGGCAACGAUGCAUAGCCGACCUGAGAGGGGGUUCGCCCACACUGGACCGGAGACACGUUCCAGACUCCUACGGGAGGCAGCGGUAGGGAAUCUGCCGCAAGGGGCGAAAGCUGGACGGAGCAACGCCGGGGGGGGGAGGAAGGUCUUCGGAUCGUAAAACGCUGUUAUUGGGGAAGAACAUAUGUGUAAGUAACUGUGCACAUCUUGACGGAACCUAAGCAGAAAGCAACGGCUAACUACGU
This 496-nucleotide ribosomal RNA is filed under the name uncultured bacterium. RNAcentral describes it as "partial 16S ribosomal RNA". It matches the Rfam family "Bacterial small subunit ribosomal RNA", at positions 28 to 506 of the family's 1533-position model. The record is from RNAcentral.